RNAcentral lists this ribosomal RNA (540 nucleotides) under uncultured archaeon. RNAcentral describes it as "bacterial SSU rRNA". It matches the Rfam family "Archaeal small subunit ribosomal RNA", at positions 72 to 613 of the family's 1478-position model. The record is from RNAcentral.
CAAUACAAGGCGGACGGCUCAGUAACACGUAUGUCAAUCUAACCUAUGGACGAGGAUAACCUCGGGAAACUGAGAAUAAUACUCGAUAGAUCAUAAUGCCUGGAACGGUCUAUGGUUCAAAUGAAUUUCGCCAUAGGGUGGGACUGCGGUCUAUCAGCUUGUUGGUGAGGUAAUGGCCCACCAAGGCUAUAACAGAUACGGGCUCUGAGAGGAGAAGCCCGGAGAUGGGUACUGAGACACGGACCCAGGCCCUAUGGGGCGCAGCAGGCGAGAAAACUUUGCAAUGUGCGAAAGCACGACAAGGUUAAUCCGAGUGAUUCCUGCUAAAGGAAUCUUUUGUUAGUUGUAAUACCACUGAUGAAUAAGGGGUGGGCAAGUUCUGGUGUCAGCCGCCGCGGUAAAACCAGCACCUCAAGUGGUCAGGAGGAUUAUUGGGCCUAAAGCAUCCGUAGCCGGCUCUGUAAGUUUUCGGUUAAAUCUAUAUGCUCAACAUAUAGGCUGCCGGAAAUACUGCAAAACUAUGAAGUGGGAGAAGUAGAC